AUACGGAGGGUGCAAGCGUUACUCGGAAUCACUGGGCGUAAAGCGCGCGCAGGCGGUCUUUUAAGUUGGAUGUGAAAGCCUACGGCUCAACCGUAGAACUGCAUCCAAAACUAUUAGACUAGAGUGUGGGAGAGAAAGAUGGAAUUAGUUGUGUAGGGGUAAAAUCCGUAGAGAUAACUAGGAAUACCAAAAGCGAAGGCAAUCUUCUGGAACACUACUGACGCUGAGGCGCGAAAGCGUGGGGAGCAAACAGGAUUAGAAACCCCAGUAGUCC
This 274-nucleotide ribosomal RNA is filed under the name uncultured bacterium. RNAcentral's name for it is "partial 16S ribosomal RNA". It matches the Rfam family "Bacterial small subunit ribosomal RNA", at positions 523 to 796 of the family's 1533-position model. The record is from RNAcentral.